RNAcentral lists this ribosomal RNA (312 nucleotides) under Triticum aestivum (bread wheat). RNAcentral describes it as "partial small subunit ribosomal RNA". The record is from RNAcentral. Lineage: Eukaryota; Viridiplantae; Streptophyta; Magnoliopsida; Poales; Poaceae.
AUGUCGGGCCGCGGCAAGGGAGGCAAGGGGCUCGGCAAGGGCGGCGCGAAGCGCCACCGGAAGGUGCUCCGCGACAACAUCCAGGGCAUCACCAAGCCGGCGAUCCGGCGGCUGGCGCGCAGGGGCGGCGUGAAGCGCAUCUCGGGGCUCAUCUACGAGGAGACCCGCGGCGUGCUCAAGAUCUUCCUCGAGAACGUCAUCCGCGACGCCGUCACCUACACCGAGCACGCCCGCCGCAAGACCGUCACCGCCAUGGACGUCGUCUACGCGCUCAAGCGCCAGGGCCGCACCCUCUACGGCUUCGGCGGCUAG